Molecule: non-coding RNA, 558 nt
Organism: Chiloscyllium plagiosum (whitespotted bambooshark)
Lineage: Eukaryota; Metazoa; Chordata; Chondrichthyes; Orectolobiformes; Hemiscylliidae
Source: RefSeq, a predicted model, not a curated record
UACAAUGUACAUUAUUUCUGAUACACAGAAAACCCAGUGGAAACUCCUUUGAAUUUUGAAUCGCUAUGGAAAGGCCAACUGAAGUGUUCUGUUUUAUUCCUCCCACAGUCCACAAGCAGUUGAGAAAUGACAUUAAAAGGGUCAAGAACUGCUUGUGUUAAAAGGGCAGCCUUAUGAAGAUUGCAGGGGAGCCACAUAAAAUGCCCAUCAAUCAGGAAGAAAUCACUAGACUCUACAUGCCCCCAGUUCUGCCCAUCUGAUUAUACUUCAUGUGCAAGUUUCGUCAGUGCAUCUCCUAAUGGCAUUUUGACCUUUGGAACCACACUGCUGGACCUGAUCCUAUGCUCACUGGGUAAAUAUCUGUGCAUACUGACAUUGGCUCCGAAUCCAGAGUGAGAGAACUGACUUACUCAUCCCUUCACAACCUCAGGACACUGGUACCAACAUUCACAUACAUAUUUAACACCAACCUGGCUGUUUUCAGUUUUCUAUUCUUAGAUUGCAAAUGAAAAUACAUUGGAUCUGAACAUCCUUGUUUACACUGUCGCUCUACCUGAA